UAGGAAGUGGUGUAGUGGAAGCACAUAGAGUUUUGAUCUCUUAGGCGGGGGUUCAAAUCCCUUUUUUCUAA
This 71-nucleotide transfer RNA is filed under the name Lophotus capellei (unicornfish). RNAcentral describes it as "tRNA-Gln". It matches the Rfam family "tRNA". Rfam says of the family: Transfer RNA (tRNA) molecules are approximately 80 nucleotides in length. Their secondary structure includes four short double-helical elements and three loops (D, anti-codon, and T loops). The record is from RNAcentral. Lineage: Eukaryota; Metazoa; Chordata; Actinopteri; Lampriformes; Lophotidae.